UACGUAGGGUGCAAGCGUUAAUCGGAAUUACUGGGCGUAAAGCGUGCGCAGGCGGUGAUGUAAGACAGUUGUGAAAUCCCCGGGCUCAACCUGGGAACUGCAUCUGUGACUGCAUCGCUGGAGUACGGUAGAGGGGGAUGGAAUUCCGCGUGUAGCAGUGAAAUGCGUAGAUAUGCGGAGGAACACCGAUGGCGAAGGCAAUCCCCCUGGACCUGUACUGACGCUCAUGCACGAAAGCGUGGGGAGCAAACAGG
Molecule: ribosomal RNA, 254 nt
Filed under: uncultured bacterium
Lineage: Bacteria
Description: partial 16S ribosomal RNA
Rfam family: Bacterial small subunit ribosomal RNA
Source: RNAcentral